ACCUGACUGCUAUCGGAUUGAUACUAAGCCAUGCGAGUCUUUGUAGUAAUACAAGGCAGACGGCUCAGUAACACGUAGUCAACCUACCCUAUGGACGAGAAUAAUCUCGGGAAACUGAGCAUAAUUCUUGAUAGAUCAUAAUGCCUGGAAUGGUUUAUGGUUAAAAUGAUUCGUCGCCAUAGGAUGGGACUGCGGCCUAUCAGCUUGUUGGUGGGGUAAUGGCCCACCAAGGCGAUUACAGGUACGGGCUCUGAGAGGAGAAGCCCGGAGAUGGGUACUGAGACAAGGACCCAGGCCCUAUGGGGCGCAGCAGGCGAGAAAACUUUGCAAUGUGCGAAAGCACGACAAGGUUAGUCCGAGUGAUUUCUGCUAAAGAGAUCUUUUGCUAGUUAUAAAACCACUAGUGAAUAAGGGGUGGGCAAGUUCUGGUGUCAGCCGCCGCGGUAAAACCAGCACCUCAAGUGGUCAGGAUGAUUAUUGGGCCUAAAGCAUCCGUAGCCGGCUCUGUAAGUUUUCGGUUAAAUCUAUGCGCUCAACGUAUGGGCUGCCGAAAAUACUGUAGAGAUAGGGAGUGGGAGAGGUAGACGGUACUCGGUAGGAAGGGGUAAAAUCCUUUGAUCUAUCGAUGACCACCUGUGGCGAAGGCGGUCUACCAGAACACGUUCGACGGUGAGGGAUGAAAGCUGGGGGAGCAAACCGGAUUAGAUACCCGGGUAGUCCCAGCUGUAAACGAUGCAGACUCGAUGAUGCAUUGGCAUAUAGCCAGUGCAGUGUCGCAGGGAAGCCGUUAAGUCUGCCGCCUGGGAAGUACGUACGCAAGUAUGAAACUUAAAGGAAUUGGCGGGGGAGCACCACAAGGGGUGAAGCCUGCGGUUC
Molecule: ribosomal RNA, 876 nt
Filed under: uncultured crenarchaeote
Lineage: Archaea; Thermoproteati; Thermoproteota
Description: bacterial SSU rRNA
Rfam family: Archaeal small subunit ribosomal RNA
Source: RNAcentral